This 863-nucleotide ribosomal RNA is filed under the name uncultured archaeon. Its description in RNAcentral is "SSU rRNA". It matches the Rfam family "Archaeal small subunit ribosomal RNA", at positions 474 to 1337 of the family's 1478-position model. The record is from RNAcentral.
CACCAGCAGCUCAAGUGGUGAUCGCGUUUACUGGGUUUGAAGCGUGCGUAGUCGGUUCAGCAAGUCUUCUGUGAAAUCCUCAGGCUUAACUUGAGGGAUUGCAGAGGAUACUACUGGGCUCGAGACCGGGUAAGGAGUGAGGUAUUCUAGGGGUAGCGGUGAAAUGCUAUAAUCCCUGGAGGACCACCCGUAGCGAAGGCGUCACUCUAGAACGGGUCUGACGAUGAGGUACGAGAGCUAGGGGAGCGAACAGGAUUAGAUACCCUGGUAGUCCUAGCCGUAAACGAUGCGGAUUUAGUGUUCCCCAAACCUCGUGUUCGGGGAGCGCUGAAGGGAAACCGUUAAAUCCGCCACCUGGGGAGUACGGUCGCAAGGCUGAAACUUAAAGGAAUUGGCGGGGGAACACCACAAGGGGUGGAUGCUGCGGUUCAAUUGGAUACAACGCCGGGAAACUCACCAGAGGCGACGGCACAAUGAAGGCCAGGCUGAAGGUCUUGCCGAAGGAGCCGAGAGGUAGUGCAUGGCCGUCGUCAGCUCGUACCGUGAGGCGUACGGUUAAGUCCGUUAACGAGCGAGACCCGUACCACUAUUUGCAACCUUCAAGGAUACUUGGGGGGCACUAUAGUGGGACUGCAUGCGAUGAGUGUGAGGAAGGCGCGGGCAACGACAGGUCAGUAUGCUCCGAAUCUCCUGGGCUACACGCGGCAUACAAUGGCAUGGACAAUGGGUUGCAACACCGAAAGGUGGAGCUAAUCCCCUAAACCAUGUCUUAGUACGGGUUGAGGGUUGAAACUCACCCUCAUGAAGCUGAAAUCCCUAGUAAUCGCUGUUUACCAUACAGCGGUGAAUAUGUCCCUGUUCCU